Salvelinus sp. IW2-2015 is the source of this 1490-nucleotide long non-coding RNA. RefSeq lists it as uncharacterized. The record is from RefSeq and is a predicted model, not a curated record. Lineage: Eukaryota; Metazoa; Chordata; Actinopteri; Salmoniformes; Salmonidae.
AGUGAACUUCAUACAGCCAUUUGAAUGUGAUUCAUUAACCUGCCACCCGAAAAAUUAUUCUGUCCACUGUUCCGAAUGUCCUGCAAAAAUCGUUUCCUUGUCCUGCAUUUGGGCUUUUUAGAUGUGAUGUAGAUCUAAUUCCACUGGAGGAAACAUUGAUACUGCAACAUGUUAUCACCAUCUUUGCACACUGUGUACUCUCUGAAGUAACCAGAAAUACCGGAUAUACUGUACAUGGAUGAAAGACGCAAACAAGUUCCGGCAAGCAGCUUGAUUUAAGACCGGAGCUAGAGCUGGAGCUGGGAUGGAUGCCUCCCCCUGUCAUCAAUGGAGGCCAAUGCAGCCAGUUAAUCUGGGUCCUUGGAUCAGAACAGGAAGUCUGCUUUUCCUGUAAAGGGGGGACUUUACAAAGACAGACCUUGCCACUCCACUGCUGCAGGUCGGAACAAGCAGAGAUAGACCACCUUUGAUAAAUGGCUGGCAGUGGAAAGUGAGAAAGACCUUGCUGCCUCUGCUCACUGCGUCAAGACAGAGUUCUUUUAAACACUACCACAUGCAAGGAAGCACAUGGUGAUGGAUCCCAGAUGUGUGCGAGAGAAGGAGCUGGCUCCGUUUGGACUGUGGCCACAACAGUCCAGACCAGAUUGCAAUUGUAAUGUCCAGUGUUGUGUUGAUGGUUUAGACUAAUUAUAAGACUGAUUAGAGUAAGCUUGGCGAUGGACUGAAAGGCCUUGUGUGCUUUGAGUCAACAAGUACCAAUGCCAAAGACUGAUAGUGGUUCAUAAACAUACAAACCCGCACGCAUGCACGCAAAGGGAAAUGUACAUGAAUGCACACCAUCGGUGCAUAAUACAAUGCACAAUGUCUGUCAAACCAAUUUAUGCAACGUGUUAAAGAUGAUGCCAGAAAUGUGUUUUAUAGAGACUGUCAUAAUCCACUAGAUCCAGGAUAACGUUCCCCGUCCAUGCUCUGAAAAUGUUCUCUGUUUUUUCUUUCCAUUUUAUGAUUGUCAGCACAGCCCUGUAUAUUUCCAAGAGAGCCAGUAACCAACACGACAUCAUGCUUAAAUGCCUUAAUGAGCUGACAAAAUCAAAUUCAGGAGAUUUCUUGGGGAGAUUUUCCUUGACUGAUCAGAGGCCUGUGUGCCUAGAGAGGGAUCUCUUUGUGUUUGUGUUUGUGUGAUGGGGAGGGGGCCAUUUUAGAGUCAUAUGUAAGAUAUUAAGAUAUUCCUUUGAAGAGCAGCAUAAAAUGUGGAGGAUUCCAGAAGUACCGACAGAAAGGGCCAAACCCAGAAGAUUAUGUAAUGCACAGACACACAUACGUGCAUAUGCACACACACGGAUGCACACACACAUGCACGCGCGAGCACACACACCAUAGUGAUACUAGAUGCAGGACUUGCCAACAAUUUGACUCAGGGUGUCAUGCAUUUGGUGUGUGUCAGAGUUAAACCUGUGGGCCAAUGGGUCACACGAUUAAUGAAAUGCUAG